AAAUUGAAGAGUUUGAUCAUGGCUCAGAUUGAACGCUGGCGGCAGGCCUAACACAUGCAAGUCGAACGGUAACAGGAAACAGCUUGCUGUUUCGCUGACGAGUGGCGGACGGGUGAGUAAUGUCUGGGAAACUGCCUGAUGGAGGGGGAUAACUACUGGAAACGGUAGCUAAUACCGCAUAACGUCGCAAGACCAAAGAGGGGGACCUUCGGGCCUCUUGCCAUCGGAUGUGCCCAGAUGGGAUUAGCUAGUAGGUGGGGUAACGGCUCACCUAGGCGACGAUCCCUAGCUGGUCUGAGAGGAUGACCAGCCACACUGGAACUGAGACACG
RNAcentral lists this ribosomal RNA (331 nucleotides) under Escherichia coli. Its description in RNAcentral is "bacterial SSU rRNA". It matches the Rfam family "Bacterial small subunit ribosomal RNA", at positions 1 to 328 of the family's 1533-position model. The record is from RNAcentral. Lineage: Bacteria; Pseudomonadati; Pseudomonadota; Gammaproteobacteria; Enterobacterales; Enterobacteriaceae. RNAcentral also lists the same sequence under 2 other names.